CUAUGAUUUAGGCCCCGCCAGGCUCUCCGAUAACCGGGCCCCCCCCUGGUGAGUAACCGGUGGACAACCUGCCUGUCAAACUGGCAGAACACCUGGAAACCGGUGCUGAUACCGGAGAAUCCUUUUCCUCUCCUGAGGAAAAGCUGAAAGUCGGUUUCAGCUGACGCUUCCGCAUGGGCCCGCGGAUGGUUCCCUAGUUGGUGAGGUAACGGCUCACCAAGGCGACCAUGCGUGCCCCAACUGAUAGGCUAAUCGGCCACACUGGCACUGACACUGGGCCCGAACUCCUACCGGAAGUCCUACUGGGGAAUCUUCCACAAUGGAUUAAAGUCUGAUGGAACAUCUCCUCGAGAGCCAUCAAGGGCUUCAGGACGGACAGCUCUGUUGUUAGGUAAGAACAAGUACCGGAAUAACUGCCGGAACCUUGGCCGGACCUUACCCGAAACCCACGGCUAACUACAUGCCUACCUCCGCGGCAAUACCUACGUGGCAAGCGUUGUCCGGAAUUAUUGGCCGUAUUGUGGGCGCAGGCGGUCCUUUAAGUCUGAUGUGAAAUCCCACGGCUCAACCGUGGAGGGUCCUUGGAAACUGCGUUACUUGCUGGCAGACUAGAAUAGCGAAGAUCCACGUGUAGUUCCGCGUUGCGUAGAGAUAUGCAGGAACAUCUGUGGCAACGGCGGCUUUCUGGUCUGUUUCUGACUCUGAGGCUGACACUCAUGCGCAGCAAACAGGAUUAGAUACACUGGUAGAUCACCUGGUAGACCAUGACUGAUACGAGUUAUGCGAAUUCCGCCCUUGAUUGCUGCCGCUAACGCUUUAAGCACUGCAUCUGGCGAGCAGGCUCGCGAGGAUGAAACUCAGGGGAAUUGUCGGAGGAACUCACAGGCGCUCGGAGCAUGUGGUGUAUUUCGAAGCAUCACUUAGAGCAUCACGAAGACUCGUCAUCCGCUGAGACUUCUUCAGACAGUACUAUCCCUUUCAGUGGACCCAUCGACGGGACAGAGUAUAGGUGGUCUUCAUGUCUGUUCGUCGACACGUGUGGUUAAAUCUGCACAGUCCAACCCCUUGAAGCUACUGUCGAGUCAUAUAUGUUCGAGCACUCUAAUGUGAACUGCUAGUGACACAUGCGGGAGACAGAUCGCGGAUGACGGCGAGAUCAUGCAUGUCAACUCAUGACGUGCGCCUUAUGCACUGGCUAACUCGAUGCUACAAUGACUGCCAGAACGGCGUAGCCAAUAGAUAGCGA
Molecule: ribosomal RNA, 1246 nt
Filed under: Bacillus arbutinivorans
Lineage: Bacteria; Bacillati; Bacillota; Bacilli; Caryophanales; Bacillaceae
Description: bacterial SSU rRNA
Rfam family: Bacterial small subunit ribosomal RNA
Source: RNAcentral